RNAcentral lists this transfer RNA (63 nucleotides) under Epilampra maya. RNAcentral's name for it is "tRNA-Gly". Lineage: Eukaryota; Metazoa; Arthropoda; Insecta; Blattodea; Blaberidae. The record is from RNAcentral.
AUUUAUCUAAUAUAAUAAGUAUAUUUGACUUCCAAUCAAAAAGUUUGCUAUGCAAGAUAAAUA